Molecule: transfer RNA, 47 nt
Filed under: Demodex brevis
Lineage: Eukaryota; Metazoa; Arthropoda; Arachnida; Trombidiformes; Demodicidae
Description: tRNA-Tyr
Source: RNAcentral
UUUCUAAUUUUUAGAAAAUUGUAAGUUUUCUUUUUAUAAUUAGAGUA